AGUGAACGCUGGCGGUAGGCCUAACACAUGCAAGUCGAACGGCAGCACAGUAAGAGCUUGCUCUUACGGGUGGCGAGUGGCGGACGGGUGAGGAAUACAUCGGAAUCUACUUUUUCGUGGGGGAUAACGUAGGGAAACUUACGCUAAUACCGCAUACGACCUACGGGUGAAAGCAGGGGAUCUUCUGACCUUGCGCGAUUGAAUGAGCCGAUGUCGGAUUAGCUAGUUGGCGGGGUAAAUGCCCACCAAGGCGCCGAUCCGUAGCUGGUCUGAGAGGAUGGUCGGCGACCCUGGAACGGAGACACGGUCCAGACUCCUACGGGAGGCAGCAGUGGGGAAUAGUGGACAAAGGGCGCAAGCCUGAUCCAGCCAGACCGCGUGGGUGAAGAAGGCCUUCGGGUUGUAAAGCCCUUUUGUUGGGAAAGAAAAGCAGCAGGUUAAUACCACGCUGUUCUGACGGUACCCAAAGAAUAAGCACCGGCUAACUUCGUG
Molecule: ribosomal RNA, 492 nt
Filed under: uncultured bacterium
Lineage: Bacteria
Description: partial 16S ribosomal RNA
Rfam family: Bacterial small subunit ribosomal RNA
Source: RNAcentral